GCGAUGCAAAAAAGUUGGCCUAAAAUUGGUUUACACCCAGUAGGUCGGCGGUUCGAUCCCGUCACCGCCCACCA
This 74-nucleotide transfer RNA is filed under the name Parvularcula sp. Its description in RNAcentral is "tRNA-Ser". Lineage: Bacteria; Pseudomonadati; Pseudomonadota; Alphaproteobacteria; Parvularculales; Parvularculaceae. The record is from RNAcentral.